AUCAAAAAUAUAUCAAUAUAUAUAAAUAAAUAUAUAUAUAUAUAUAUACACCGUCAACGAGCGCCCAUUCAUUUAAUAGAAUCAGUACCCUACAUUUAUAUACAUAUUUUUAAUUAUAUUCGUAGAUUUCACUAAUUUAAAAUGAAGAUAACUAUGUUGAAUUUAGUUUUUUUAUACAUAUUUUUUAUUCAUGUAUAUAAACAAGUCCUUAGUAAUGAAAACAACAGACCUCCAAGAAAUCCAAGAAAUCCAAGAAAUCCAAGACAUCCUUAUGCUAUAGAAAACGCACCUGCUCCACCUCCUAGUCCAAACUCUCCUCCUCCUUAUUACAGUCUUUCUCAUUCUUCUACUCUCCUUCCUUCCUACACUCAUACUCCUCGUCAAAAUCACAAUCACUCUCCUCCUCCUCCUUAUACUCCAUCUAGUUUUACCCUUCAGUCACAUAUUUCACCCCCUCUUCAUUCUCCUCUUUCAUCUUCUCGUUCACCUCCUUUUUCGUCUCCUUUUUCACCUCGUCCUCAACAACGUUCUGUUAGUUUGCACCCGAAUCCUCCUCAGUACUCUCAUCCUCCUCCUCCUCCGCGGUAUUCUAAUUAUUCCUCCCAUCAACACUCUCCUCCUUCUCAUCCUCUUUCUUCUCGUUCUCCUCCUUCUCCUAUUUUUCCUCUUUCUCCUCUUUCUCCUCCUUCCCCCCCUCAACACUCUCCUUCUUCUCAUCCUUCUUCUCAUCCUUCUUCUCAUCCUUCUGCUCAUCCUUCUGCUCAUCCUUCUUCUCAUCCUUCUUCUCAUCCUUCUUCUCAUCCUUAUUCUCAUCCUUCUUCUCAUCCUUCUUCUCCUUCUCUUUCAGCUUAUAAUGGAGCUUCUUCUUCUUCUUCUUCUUCUUUAAAUUCAGAUUCUGAUGGAAAUUCUUCUCAAUCUACGUCACCUUUUUUUAAUACUUAUUACAUUGAUGCUGAACCGAACGGCUAUGCUCCUUCUGAUAAUAGUACAUUUAGUAUAUCUACUAUAUCUACGUCACCUAUCUCUCUGCCGUACACUCCUCCUCCUUUUUAUACCCCUUUCGUUCCAAUUUCAUCUAGUAAUAUAUCACAUACAAGCCAUAAUCCUACUCCUUUUAUUUGGCCACAACCUGUUACACCUUCAAAUGCGAAUAGAAAUUCACGUCCUUCUAGUGCAAACUCGACUCCUCCUCCGUCUCGUAUUAACUCUACUUCGCCUUCCUCUAAUCCUUUUUUAAUUCAUUCUCAUGUUCAUCGAUCUUCUACUACACCUUCUGCGUCCCCUCCCAAUAAUAUGUACAGAAAUCGUCCUCCUACACCUUUUCAUUCACCCCUUCCUACUGAGCAAUCUUAUACAGCUACACAUCCUUCUUCUUCAACCUCAUCAAAUUAUCCAGCUUCUAGUUCUACGUUUUCUGCCAUUACUUCUUCUAAUGUUAACUUGACUCCACCUUCUUCAAAUCCCAUUGUUACCCCUUCCUUUGUUCGUCCAUCUUCUACUAGACCUUCUUCGUCUCUUCCUACACCUAUUUCUUCUUCAACCGUAAUAAAUCAUUCAGCUUCUAAUUCUGCGUUUUCUAUCAUUUCUCCCCCUGUUUCUAGCUCCACAUCUGCUGCUUCUCGUGGUCC
Piliocolobus tephrosceles (Ugandan red Colobus) is the source of this 1628-nucleotide long non-coding RNA. NCBI's taxonomy places the organism in Eukaryota, Metazoa, Chordata, Mammalia, Primates, Cercopithecidae. The record is from Ensembl.